GAAAGCUAAGGCACGGCGUGAUCCUCUCUUCCUUCUCCUUCUAGCUAUGUAAGUAUUUCGCCUUGGGUAGCUUUGGUUUUGGAGUUAUGAGGAGAAUUGCAGAAAUGGGAAAAAAUGGAUUUUUGCUUUGAUGUUCGGUUUCCGGCGAUUUCCGGCCAGAUUAUUUGGGGGUUUUGGUUGUUGGGGAAGUACUGAACGUGUUCCUAACCUUGUUGCAGCUCGUUUUGAUCGGUGGAAGAAGAUUUGAGGGUGUUUGAGACUGUGAACAGUACCAUGAACAGUAACUCUCGAAUUCUUGGGUUCUUUUAUAGAAGUGGUUGUGUGGGUUUUGAAGUUGAUUUUGGAAUAGAUAGGUUGUUUGGUAUAGGUUUUAAACUUUAAGUUUUGUGUUAAACUUGAUAUCGUUGGAUAUUGAGUUUUUGUUGUUGAGCAUGGUUGUUGGAGUUGUCAAUGUUAUUGUGGGAUUGGUCUAUUUUGUUGAGGAAUUUGGUGUUGAGAUUGUGGUUUGGAAAAGAAAAUUUAGAGAGGAUUUGAGAUUUAGAGUUGGAUUUGUGAAUGGAAAUAGGGAAAGUUAAGAAAGAAUGUGGAAAUUUUGGAAAAGGAUUUAUAUUAUAAAUUGGUGGUAAAUUGUGAUGAAGGAAGUGAAAUUAAAAUUGAUUAAGUUAUCGAACGGUCCUUGUGAAGGUUUAGAUUAAGCGAGGUUUUUUUAAUUCGGUUCCUCAACCACUCAAUAACCUCGCUUAAUCUAAACCUUCACAAGGACCGUUCGAUAACUUAAUCAAUUUUAAUUUCACUUCCUUCAUAACAAUUUACCACCAAUUUAUAAUAUAAAUCAUUUUCCAAAAUUUCCACAUUCUUUCUUAACUUUCCCUAUUUCCAUUCACAAAUCCAACUCUAAAUCUCAAAUCCUCUCUAAAUUUUCUUUUCCAAACCACAAUCUCAACACCAAAUUCCUCAACAAAAUAGACCAAUCCCACAAUAACAUUGACAACUCCAAUAACCAUGCUCAACAACAAAAACUCAAUAUCCAACAAUAUCAAGUUUAACACAAAACUCAAAGUUUAAAACCUAUACCAAACAACCUAUCUAUUCCAAAAUCAACUUCAAAACCCACACAACCACUUCUAUACCUGCAGC
This 1137-nucleotide long non-coding RNA is filed under the name Rosa chinensis. RNAcentral describes it as "sRNA RchiOBHm_Chr1g0329251". The record is from RNAcentral. Lineage: Eukaryota; Viridiplantae; Streptophyta; Magnoliopsida; Rosales; Rosaceae.